GAUGAACGCUGGCGGCGUGCCUAAUACAUGCAAGUCGAGCGAACGGACGAGAAGCUUGCUUCUCUGAUGUUAGCGGCGGACGGGUGAGUAACGCGUGGAUAACCUACCUAUAAGACUGGGAUAACUUCGGGAAACCGUAGCUAAUACCGGAUAAUAUUUUGAACCGCAUGGUUCAAAAGUGAAAGACGGUCCUGCUGUCACUUAUAGAUGGAUCCGCGCUCCAUUAGCUAGUUGGUAAGGUAACGGCUUACCAAGGCAACGAUGCAUAGCCGACCUGAGAGGGUGAUCGGCCACACUGGAACUGAGACACGGUCCAGACUCCUACGGGAGGCAGCAGUAGGGAAUCUUCCGCAAUGGGCGAAAGCCUGACGGAGCAACGCCGCGUGAGUGAUGAAGGUCUUCGGAUCGUAAAACUCUGUUAUUAGGGAAGAACAUAUGUGUAAGUAACUGUGCACAUCUUGACGGUACCUAAUCAGAAAGCCACGGCUAACUACGUG
Molecule: ribosomal RNA, 497 nt
Filed under: uncultured bacterium
Lineage: Bacteria
Description: partial 16S ribosomal RNA
Rfam family: Bacterial small subunit ribosomal RNA
Source: RNAcentral